Molecule: ribosomal RNA, 1349 nt
Filed under: metagenome
Description: bacterial SSU rRNA
Rfam family: Archaeal small subunit ribosomal RNA
Source: RNAcentral
UCACGUUGAUCCUGCGUGAGAUUUCCGCUAAAAGGGUUGGAUUAAGCCAUGAAAGUGCGUUAACCUUGUGUUGACCGCAGAAUGCUGAGUAACACGUCAUUAAUCUGCCUUGCAAUUUUUAAUAAUCUUGGGAAACUGAGUGUAAAAGUUAUAGUUGUCUUAUACUGGAAUGUUUAGACAAUGAAUGCAAGAUGAGAUGGCGGCCGAUUAGGUAGUUGGUGAGGUAAUGGCUCACCAAGCCAAAGAUCGGUAGGGGUUGUGAGAGCAAUGACCUCCAGAAGGACACUGAGAUAAGGGUCCUAGCCCUAAGGGGUGCAGCAGGCGCGAAAACUCUACAAUGCACGCAAGUGUGAUAGGGCAACCCUUUAUGCUCAUCUAAGAUGGGCUUUUGUAUUGUGUAAUGAGCUUUACGAAUAAGUGGUGGGCAAGACCGGUGCCAGCAGCCGCGGUAAUACCGGCGCCACAAGUGGAGAUCACGAUUACUGGGUCUAAAGUGUUCGUAGCUGGUUUAGUAAGUCUCUUGUGAAAUUUCAGUAGCUUAACUCUGAAACUGCAAGAGAUACUGCAAAACUUGAGACUGGGAGGGGUAUGGAGUAUUAUUUGGGUAGCGGUAAAAUGUUAUAAUCCUUAUAAGACUAACUAAGACGAAGGUACCAUACUGGAACAGAUCUGACAGUGAGGAACGAGAGCUAGGGGAGCGAACCGGAUUAGAUACCCGGGUAGUCCUAGCCGUAAACUCUGCGGGUUAUGCUCUGCUAAAAAUUUGAGUUUUAGCAGGGGAGUAGCGAAGGCAUUAAACCCGCCACCUGGGAAGUACAGCCGCAAGGCCGAAACUUAAAGGAAUUGCCGGGGGAGUACUACAAGGGGUGCGGCGUGCGGUUUAAUUGAAUUACACACCGAGCAUCUUACCAGGGGCGGCAGCACUAUGAAGGUCAGUCUAAAGGGCUUACCUAAGACGCUGAGAGGUGCUGCAUGGCCGCCGUCAGCUCGUGCUGUAAGGUGUCCUCUUAAGUGAGAAAACGAGCAAGACCUAUAUCUACAAUUACUAUCUAGGUUGGCUAGAGUACGUUGUAGGGACUGCCUUGGAAACGAGGAGGAAGGUGUAGGCUACGGUAGGUCUGUAUAGCCCGAAUCUCCUGGGCUACACGCGCGCAACAAUGGUUCAGACAAAGAGUUGCCACUCUGAAAAGAGGAGCUAAUCUCCAAACUGAAUCCAAGUUUAGAUUGAGGUUUAUAACUCAACCUCAUGACAUCGGAAUCCCUAGUAACCGGGUGUUAUCAGCGCCCGGUGAAUAUGUCCAUUCUCCUUGGACACACUGCCCGUCAAACCAACCAAGUAAGGUUAAGGU